GACGAACGCUGGCGGCGUGCCUAAUACAUGCAAGUAGAACGCUGAAGGAGGAGCUUGCUUCUCUGGAUGAGUUGCGAACGGGUGAGUAACGCGUAGGUAACCUGCCUGGUAGCGGGGGAUAACUAUUGGAAACGAUAGCUAAUACCGCAUAAGAGUAGAUGUUGCAUGACAUUUGCUUAAAAGGUGCAAUUGCAUCACUACCAGAUGGACCUGCGUUGUAUUAGCUAGGUGGUGGGGUAACGGCGCACCAAGGCGACGAUACAUAGCCGACCUGAGAGGGUGAUCGGCCACACUGGGACUGAGACACGGCCCAGACUCCUACGGGAGGCAGCAGUAGGGAAUCUUCGGCAAUGGACGGAAGUCUGACCGAGCAACGCCGCGUGAGUGAAGAAGGGUUUCGGAUCGUAAAGCUCUGUUGUAAGAGAAGAACGAGUGUGAGAGUGGAAAGUUCACACUGUGACGGUAGCUUAACAGAAAGGGACGGCUAACUACGUG
RNAcentral lists this ribosomal RNA (495 nucleotides) under uncultured bacterium. Its description in RNAcentral is "partial 16S ribosomal RNA". It matches the Rfam family "Bacterial small subunit ribosomal RNA", at positions 28 to 507 of the family's 1533-position model. The record is from RNAcentral.